Molecule: ribosomal RNA, 491 nt
Filed under: uncultured bacterium
Lineage: Bacteria
Description: partial 16S ribosomal RNA
Rfam family: Bacterial small subunit ribosomal RNA
Source: RNAcentral
AGUGAACGCUGGCGGUAGGCCUAACACAUGCAAGUCGAACGGCAGCACAGUAAGAGCUUGCUCUUACGGGUGGCGAGUGCGGACGGGUGAGGAAUACAUCGGAAUCUACUUUUUCGUGGGGGAUAACGUAGGGAAACUUACGCUAAUACCGCAUACGACCUACGGGUGAAAGCAGUGGAUCUUCGGACCUUGCGCGAUUGAAUGAGCCGAUGUCGGAUUAGCUAGUUGGCGGGGUAAAGGCCCACCAAGGCGACGAUCCGUAGCUGGUCUGAGAGGAUGAUCAGCCACACUGGAACUGAGACACGGUCCAGACUCCUACGGGAGGCAGCAGUGGGGAAUAUUGGACAAUGGGCGCAAGCCUGAUCCAGCCAUACCGCGUGGGUGAAGAAGGCCUUCGGGUUGUAAAGCCCUUUUGUUGGGAAAGAAAAGCAGCAGGUUAAUACCCCGCUGUGCUGACGGUAACCAAAGAAUAAGCACCGGCUAACUUCGUG